AACGCGAAGAACCUUACCAGGCCUUGACAUCCAAUGAACUUUCCAGAGAUGGAUUGGUGCCUUCGGGAACAUUGAGACAGGUGCUGCAUGGAUGUCGUCAGCUCGUGUCGUGAGAUGUUGGGUUAAGUCCCGUAACGAGCGCAACCCUUGUCCUUAGUUACCAGCACGUAAUGGUGGGCACUCUAAGGAGACUGCCGGUGACAAACCGGAGGAAGGUGGGGAUGACGUCAAGUCAUCAUGGCCCUUACGGCCUGUGCUACACACGUGCUACAAUGGGCGGUACAGAGGGUUGCCAAGCCGCGAGGUGGAGCUAAUCCCAGAAAACCGAUCGUAGUCCGGAUCGCACUCUGCAACUCGACUGCGUGAAGUCGGAAUCGCUAGUAAUCGCUAAUCGUAAUGUAGCGGUGAAUACGUUCCCGGGUCUUGUACACACCG
This 435-nucleotide ribosomal RNA is filed under the name uncultured bacterium. Its description in RNAcentral is "bacterial SSU rRNA". It matches the Rfam family "Bacterial small subunit ribosomal RNA", at positions 958 to 1392 of the family's 1533-position model. The record is from RNAcentral.